Molecule: ribosomal RNA, 264 nt
Filed under: uncultured bacterium
Lineage: Bacteria
Also listed under: 1 other name
Description: partial 16S ribosomal RNA
Rfam family: Bacterial small subunit ribosomal RNA
Source: RNAcentral
UCCAAGUGAAGUAGAGGACAGUGGCGGACGGGUGAGUAACGCGUGAGGAACCUGCCUUUCAGAGGGGGACAACAGUUGGAAACGACUGCUAAUACCGCAUGACACAUUGGGGUCGCAUGGCCUUGAUGUCAAAGAUUUAUCGCUGGAAGAUGGCCUCGCGUCUGAUUAGCUAGAUGGUGGGGUAACGGCCCACCAUGGCGACGAUCAGUAGCCGACCUGAGAGGGUGACCGGCCACAUUGGGACUGAGACACGGCCCAGACUCC